CGGCGUGUGGCGCAGUCUGGUAGCGCACCUCGUUCGGGGAGGGGGUCGUAGGUUCAAAUCCUGCCGCGCCGACCA
Molecule: transfer RNA, 75 nt
Filed under: Alphaproteobacteria bacterium
Lineage: Bacteria; Pseudomonadati; Pseudomonadota; Alphaproteobacteria
Description: tRNA-Arg
Rfam family: tRNA
About the family: Transfer RNA (tRNA) molecules are approximately 80 nucleotides in length. Their secondary structure includes four short double-helical elements and three loops (D, anti-codon, and T loops). Further hydrogen bonds mediate the characteristic L-shaped molecular structure. tRNAs have two regions of fundamental functional importance: the anti-codon, which is responsible for specific mRNA codon recognition, and the 3' end, to which the tRNAs corresponding amino acid is attached (by aminoacyl-tRNA synthetases). tRNAs cope with the degeneracy of the genetic code in two manners: having more than one tRNA (with a specific anti-codon) for a particular amino acid; and 'wobble' base-pairing, i.e. permitting non-standard base-pairing at the 3rd anti-codon position.
Source: RNAcentral